This is a long non-coding RNA of Rhinopithecus bieti (black snub-nosed monkey), 2100 nucleotides long. The record is from Ensembl. Lineage: Eukaryota; Metazoa; Chordata; Mammalia; Primates; Cercopithecidae.
CCGCCAGCCGUCCGCAGAGCCGAGCGGGGUAUCCCCUCUCACACGGCCGUGGCCACAACCUCAGCCCUCCUCGCACCUCCCUUCGCAGCUCACGUCUCCUCCCGUGGGGUGUCCCGGCCUCCGCCUGCCGAUGUCGGCAGUCAGCAGAGCCCCGGCCAUCUUCCUCCGGCCGUCCAGUCCCCGCUGCUCCCUGGCUCGCCACUUUUCGUUAACCAGGGCACUCCGGACCGCCCCGCCUGCGAUCAGGCGCUGCGGAAGACAGCCCUGUGGGCUGGAGAGACGACAAGGACCUCGCGGCGCGGCGAAAGGGGUGUAGUCUGCUACUACCGCGGCAGGGAGUUGGGAGGGCGGCCAAAAGUGACUUCGAAUUGCAGCUAGCCGUUUGGAACGUGGCCCAAAAGGCUCUCAUUUUCGUGGCUGGAACUGCCGCCGCGGUGCUUGCCUGCGGUCCGGGUCAGGCGUUGCCCUCCCGCCGGGCGGGCGAGGAGCGGUGCAUGCUGGGAUUUGUAGUUCGUCCCCAUGAGGCUCGUCCUGGGAACAUUAAGGGGAGGAACCCGAGCCUAAUCUUGUCAGCGCAGCCUGGAGAUUAGGACCCGGAGUUGCCGAGGUGUCAGCAUCCUUUGCUCUUGAAUUGAUUAAAAAGUGUAAUCAAAUGCAUAUAUUUUCUUCAAACAAGUUUUACCCGAAAGUUGGUUGAAAGAGGCUAAAUCAGGGAGUUCUUAAUUUUGCGUCUGCAAGGCGGCUUUUUAGUUCUGGAUUCUUUUCCGGCUUAUUCUAAGACACCUAUGAGUCGUGGGGCUUCUCUUUCGAAGUCUUUAAGUGGACAGUGCGCAUGCGCCAACUUCCUCUUUUUUCCGGUUGGAACCAUGGAGGGUGCAGAAGAGAAGAAGAAGAAGGUUCCUGCUGUGCCAGAAACCCUUAAGAAAAAGCGAAGGAAUUUCGCAGAGCUGAAGGUCAAGCGCCUGAGAAAGAAGUUUGCCCAAAAGAUGCUUCGAAAGGCAAGGAGGAAGCUUAUCUAUGAAAAAGCGAAGCACUAUCACAAGGAGUAUAGGCAGAUGUACAGAACUGAAAUUCGAAUGGCGAGGAUGGCAAGAAAAGCUGGCAACUUCUAUGUACCUGCUGAACCCAAAUUGGCGUUUGUCAUCAGGAUCAGAGGGUACCCCAAUCUGAAGUCAGUAAAUGAGCUAAUCUACAAGCGUGGUUAUGGCAAAAUCAAUAAGAAGCGAAUUGCUUUGACAGAUAACGCUUUGAUUGCUCGAUCUCUUGGUAGGUUCUGUUUGGGGGAAAGUUUGACCAUGCUAUAACUUCCUAUCCUCUUGUGGCUGUACAUUUCUCACUAUUGUACAUUUUCAUAUAUUCCCUGUGAUUCUUGAUUAAGCUUAAAGAAAAUGUAAGGCAUGGUUUCAUUGGCUUGAACCUUAUCUUCGUAAAGCCAUGCAUUUACCUUGUUUAUUCCUGGUGUGUUUUUAUUUCACAGCCUACAGUUGCUCUUGUUGGGUGUCCUAAAGUCUAACAAUUAAUUCAAAACUUUUUGCAACUUUAAUAAUUUUAACCUUAAAAUAUUUAGGUAAAUAUGGCAUCAUCUGCAUGGAGGAUCUGAUUCAUGAGAUCUAUACUGUUGGAAAACGCUUCAAAGAGGCAAAUAACUUCCUGUGGCCCUUCAAAUUAUCUUCUCCACGAGGUGGAAUGAAGAAAAGACCACCCAUUUUGUAGAAGGUGGAGAUGCUGGCAACAGGGAGGACCAGAUCAACAGGCUUAUUAGAAGAAUGAACUAAGGUGAGAGACCUCAUCCUGAGAAAUGUCGAGUUAACGCUAGAGUGCAAGUGCUGGUAAUCUUGAAUACUUUUCCCAUUAAAUAUUGAGGGAGGUCUGAAUUUUAAUCAGUGCUUUUGUGGGGAGCGGGAUCAACUAUCUUAACGAUUACAUUUGGUUUGUUACUUAAUGAUUACAGUUGGUUAGCUUUUGAGGACCUUUCUGGAGGAAAGGAAAAGCCUGUUUGGGGAGUUUUAAAGAUGGAAAUUGGGUGAUCUUAAAAUGUAAACUCAAUAGUUAACUUUUAACUGUCUAUGUUAAUUGUUAGCCGGCUAAGGUGUUUUCUAA